Molecule: ribosomal RNA, 484 nt
Filed under: uncultured bacterium
Lineage: Bacteria
Description: partial 16S ribosomal RNA
Rfam family: Bacterial small subunit ribosomal RNA
Source: RNAcentral
AUUGAACGCUGGCGGCAGGCCUAACACAUGCAAGUCGAGCGGAUGAAGGGAGCUUGCUCCUGGAUUCAGCGGCGGACGGGUGAGUAAUGCCUAGGAAUCUGCCUGGUAGUGGGGGAUAACGUCCGGAAACGGGCGCUAAUACCGCAUACGUCCUGAGGGAGAAAGUGGGGGAUCUUCGGACCUCACGCUAUCAGAUGAGCCUACGUCGGAUUAGCUAGUUGGUGGGGUAAAGGCCUACCAAGGCGACGAUCCGUAACUGGUCUGAGAGGAUGAUCAGUCACACGGGAACUGAGAAGAGGUACAGACUACUACGGGAAGCAGCAGUGGGGAAUGUUGGACAAGGGGCGAAAGCCUGAACCAGGCAUGUCGCGGGUGUGAAGAAGGUCUACGGAUUGUAAAGCUCUUUAAGUUGGGAGGAAGGACAGUAAGUUAAUACCUUGCUGUUUGGACGUUACCAACAGAAUAAGCACCGGCUAACUUCGUG